This 800-nucleotide ribosomal RNA is filed under the name uncultured Glomus. RNAcentral's name for it is "SSU rRNA". It matches the Rfam family "Eukaryotic small subunit ribosomal RNA", at positions 314 to 1114 of the family's 1831-position model. The record is from RNAcentral. Lineage: Eukaryota; Fungi; Glomeromycota; Glomeromycetes; Glomerales; Glomeraceae.
AUCAACUUUCGAUUGGUAGGAUAGAGGCCUACCAUGGUGGUAACGGGUAACGGGGUGUUAGGGCACGACACCGGAGAGGGAGCCUGAGAAACGGCUACCACAUCCAAGGAUGGCAGCAGGCGCGCAAAUUACCCAAUCCCGACACGGGGAGGUAGUGACAAUAAAUAACAAUACGGGGUUCUUUAGGAUUUCGUAAUUGGAAUGAGUACAAUUUAAAUCUCUUAACGAGGAACAAUUGGAGGGCAAGUCUGGUGCCAGCAGCCGCGGUAAUUCCAGCUCCAAUAGCGUAUAUUAAAGUUGUUGCAGUUAAAAAGCUCGUAGUUGAAUUUCGGGGUCAGUAGGUUGGUCAUGCCACUGGUAUGUACUGGUCUCACUGAUUCCUCCUUCCUGAUGAGCCGUAAUGCCAUUAAUUUGGUGUUGCGAGGAAUCUGGACUGUUACUUUGAAAAAAUUAGAGUGUUUAAAGCAGGCUAACGCUUGAAUACAUUAGCAUGGAAUAAUGAAAUAGGACGUUCGAUCUUAUUUUUUUGGUUUCCAAGAUUGACGUAAUGAUUAAUAGGGAUAGUUGGGGGCAUUAGUAUUCAAUUGUCAGAGGUGAAAUUCUUGGAUUUAUUGAAGACUAACUACUGCGAAAGCAUUUGCCAAGGAUGUUUUCAUUAAUCAAGAACGAAAGUUAGGGGAUCGAAGACGAUCAGAUACCGUCGUAGUCUUAACCAUAAACUAUGCCGACUAGGGAUCGGAUGAUGUUAAUUUUUUAAUGACUCAUUCGGCGCCUUACGGGAAACCAAAGUGUUUGGGUUC